ACCAUGAGAGAGAAACGUUUGAGAAUUGAGAGGAUGCUCCAUUUGUCCAGAGAAAGCUUGUACUUUUCGCCUUGACGGUAUUGAAUGGUAGUAUACUUGUGAUUUGUCAUAGGGAAGUUCAUAGUUGAGAAGUGAAUUUGGAAUAGUCUCCAACUGAAUUUGGUUGCUUCAAUUCAUGGUUUGGCAAAGAUUUUUGGACAAACAUUGAUGGGCCAAGGAGAGAUUUGAUAUCUCCAAGACAUCCGCCAUGAAGUUUUGACAUUUUGCAGUGGUAUCCAUAACCCCAGUUCUGUCACGUAGUAUCAAUGGAAUCAACAAGAUGAGUAUAAUAUGAUAAUAAAUUAGCAAAUUUACUUCCACAAGUUACUACAGGUGCAACUUAACAGUUGUAGAAUGGCUUUUUAUUCUUUUUCUGUACGAGUCUCCUGUAAAGUGAGGAAAAAAAAACAGUACUCUUAUUUGAUUAAUGCACUCAUCAUCCCCGUUCAAAGAACUGGGUUGUAAUCGCUUUCCCCCAAUCAAAAUCCAAAGCAGAGAAAAGAUUUCUGCCUUGGAUCGGGGCCAAUGAGAUUGGUCAUUUUUCUCUGUGUGAUUUAUCAGGCCUGCUUUUACUCUUGGGUUCUCUAGAAGUGGGAUUCAUCAUUCAUGUGUAAAAUUAAGCAGGCGUGCAGGCCGUUAGUAAGGUGGCGAUGGCGAGAUUUUGGUUUGGCUUGCAAAAGGUACUGGAGUUUUGGCUUCGUAUGAGCAAAAAUGGCUGCUUAUGAGGUAUGACUUGUCAGCUGGGUAUGCUUUGGAGAAAAAUAUUCUGAAUGACAUUAGGUUAUGUGGUGACUAAGGUAACAACUUCUUUUAGUUCUUUAUCUAAGUUGAUUGUUUCUUUGUUUGGUUAUUCCUUCGAGCAAUUGUUUUCCCAACUAGUAUAUGAUAUCGACUCCGAACGCGCUCACUAACAUUUUUCUCUGUGGUUCGUGCAUUCUUUGUUCAUAAACAAGCACACAUUUGCAACAUUAUUCUGUGACCCUUUAUUCGAUGAUUUAGUUGCCUUUUCCCAGUCUUGAAGUUCCUGAUCAUGCGUAAGAAUAAUGUUGUUGUUGUCCCCCUAUUCCUAUACAUUUUAUAACUAUGUGCUAAUACAAUUCAAAAAAAAAAAAAACUAUGUGCUACUAAUUUAUGUAGGCAUGCUGCGUAUGGCAAGUGUAUAAGAGUAAGCUGUAAGCAGUUCAAAGUGGGAGAGGAGAGAAACAGGGAGAAAAUUCAGGAACCAUUACUUGAGUUUGAUUUUUUAUGUUAGUAUAGGUUUCUGAAGAUCAUUAUGACCACUGUGAAUUUAUGUUAACAGUACAAAUCCCAGAAUUUUAUUUGUAGAAAUUCCCUUGUUCUCGGAACAAUGUUGAAAACACAAAAUGAAAUCCCUUGGUGAAUCCAUGGCUUUAGGCCAUGCUUUUCAUGAAUCCUUCUAGAAAAAUUCAGUGGCAUAUGGCCACUCUGGAUAAGGUUGUGCACAGGUUAAGAAAAUUGAGGAGGAUGAGGUCUUGAAAGUGGGUUUUACUUUGGGUGGAGGACUUCACUUUAUUGGUGAAAGAAUUUAGUUUGGCUACUGCUGCUACCAGAUAAAUCUUUUCUCCUUCAGGUUUAUGUUACCCUCUUCCUGUUUCUGCUUCUUUCCUGCAGGCAUGUGAACCUGGUUUAUCAUGUCAUAUCUAUAAACAUGUUUUGGAUUUUUCACUUCCAAGUGCUGACUAAUUGGAUUAAUUCUCCCAAGUUGAUAUUCAUGAGCAAUCUUGAAUACUUGUUCCGUAAAAGCUUGUUCCUUAUAUAUGUGGCUACGUGUUUAUAUGACACAAAGGAGCAUUAGUCAUAUGUGAUGAAAAUGAUAAUAGAAGGAUGAACUUUUAGGACAACAUAUUAUGUAUGUUUUCCAUUAUUUUUAAUUAGAUUGAGCAGCAGGUUAUUCCAAUCGCCAUAUAGAAUUGUCGUGCAGUCCUGCCUCUAUGUCAAAACUGCUCUCUAUGUGCCAAAUCUGUAAUCAGCCAUUCUGAUUUUUAGGAUCUUGUUCUGAUUGAUCCUCUGCUAUUCUUCACUUUGAGUUGUGCACUGUAUGGUAUUUAAAGCCAGUAUAAGAGAUCGCCUUCUGAUUUGUAGUUUGAUGCUAAUGUGAGAUAUAGGUUAGGCAUCUGCAUGGAAAUGGCAUUGUUGCAAAGCAUCAUCUUCCUUUUGGCAUAUAUUUGCUAAUUUGUUGCCUCCAAUAUCCUUUUUAGCCUUCUUCCCUUCAGAAAGCCACUAUGACAAUUCUAAUGAAUUUAAAUCUUAAAACUUGAAUCUGUGGAUUAUGAAUGAUUUUCUUACAGUCGAAGUUGUUCUUCAUGUUAUUGAUUGGUAUGGCAUCAUUGUCUGGUUGGAGGUCAAACAUCCAUGAAGUUGGCUAUCCCUAUCCAUCACCCUAUUUAGAUGCUGGACAAACCUUUAUGUGCCAAUAGGACUGUACAUGGAGCCUUCUGGGGUACAUUUCUGGGUCCCAUAGUUGCAGCCGAAGUCAGAGAGUUCAAUGCCUUCCUUAAGAAGUUAAGAAUUGAGCAGCCAAAGAGAGUUUGUGGAAAAGAACGAAGAUGGUGCUCUUGCCAUUGCAAUAGGCAUAGGCUCCUCAUGCAUAUUGAUUAAAAGCUUGUGACACCGUGCUGUUGAGGUUUACCCAAAACAACCUCAAUGGAUUAAGAAGUAUUUAUCUGAUGCAAUUGAAUUUUUGGAGAUGUAGUUUCUGAUAUUGUGGUUCUCUCUCUCUCUCUGGGAUACGGGGUAAGUGAUGUUAACACAUUAGGCAGGCUGGGGUCCAUUCUUGUGACUCCUAUGCAACUCUUUAUUGCUAAAAGCAAAUCGUUGUGUUUCUCAUACAGUGCCAUUUGUGUCCAUAGCAGUUGGGAGAUUGGGAAAAUAUGCUGCCGCACUUGUUAUGCCUGGUAAGUCACUAAUCCCUGAUCUAAGUUUCAGGAAUCAGGUCAUGACACGAUAUGUCAGUUAAGAAAUCUGAUCUUCCUUUUUGAGCAGUGCCAAGGCUAUGAUCUGUUUUUGGGUCCUAAAAUGAACUGCUAAGGUCGUGGCAUUGAUUUUUGGAUUUGCAAUGGCACUUGCCAAUGCUGAAACUUCUGCUAGGCAGAAGCUAAAUCACUGUGUGACUUCCUAUGUAACUAUUCCUUGCUUAAAGCAAAUCGUUGUGUUUCCCACACUGCACCAUUUGUGUCCAUAGCAGUUGGGAGAUUGGCAAAAUAUGCUGCUGCACUUGUUAUGGAUGAUAAGAGGCCAUGAUAUGACAUGUCAGUUAAGAAAGCUGAUCUUCCUUUUUGGGUAAUGCCAAGGCUGUGAUCUGUUUUUGGGUCCUAAAUGAGCUGCUAAGGUUCUUAGCAUUGAUUUUUGGAUUUGCAGUGACACUCACCAAUGCUCAAAUUGCUGCUGGGCAGAAGCUAUAUCACUGUGUGACUUCCUACGUGGCUCUUUCUUGCUUAAGGCAAAUUGUUGUGUUUCUCACAUUGUACCAUUUCUGUCCAUAGCAGUUGGGAGAUUGGCAAAACAUGCUUCAGCACUUAUUAUGGCUGGUAAGUCAUUGAUCCCUGAUCUAAGUUUCAGGAAAGAGGCCAUGACACAACAUGUCAGUUAAGAAGGCUGAUCUUCCUUUUUGAGCAGUGCCAAGGCUCUGAUGUGUUUUUGGAUCCUAAUAUGAACUGCUAAGGUUGUGGCCAUUAUUUUUGGGUUUGCAAUGGCUCUUGCCAAUGCUCAAAUUGCUGCUAGGCAGAAGUUAUGUCACCAGCCAGCCAUGUGUUACUUAGCUUAAAUGCUUUGACAAAUUUCCAUCUUCAAAGUAUUGCAAAGGCUUUCUAAGGGAUAGGAUUCUGGAAAUUUUUUGACAUCUGGGAUUGGUCACUUUCUCAAGCUAAAAGGCAUUCCAGUGGAAUGAGCAUUGGAGAUUCAUGAACAGUGGCUACUGUCAAUUGACAUGGUUGCUAGUGGGCAGAUUGCGUUGAUAAUAACAUCAAGUGCUGGUAAUGCACUUGAUCAGAUUGAUUGCCAAAAAUUAGAGUGAAUGGUUGCUAUGUGCCACUUCCUCUUGACCAGUGCAGAGGUAAGGAGCUCGAAGUCAUACACCAUUGACGUGGUUACUCUUCAAGACUUCUUUGAUGAUGAGUUAGAAGCAGGGGAGGGGGGUUGCCAAAGCUGGCUAUGUGCCACUUCCUGUCCAUGAAUUGAUAGGUAUAUCUGGGAGGAUUGGUUCUCAAUGUUCAAUUUGCAGGGAGCGAUUCUAUAUUCUUUCCUCUAUGUCUGCUUGUUGUGUGAUUCAAUGCUAUGGCCUACAGAAGUAGUUGCGGAGUUAAUAUAAUCGGGUGUGAAAAGUUUGAACUUUCCAUGACAACCUAAACAAAUGGCUAAGUGAAGACUUUUCCGACGUUAAUACUCUUCGUUCCUGAUGCAUCGCUAUCUUAUUUCUAUAGAAAGCGGUCAAGCCGAACCUAACUCAACCAGGGAAUCAAGACUUUCUAGAGACUGGACAUGACAAUAAUUGACCUUGGGCUGAUGAACGGUUUAUGAUAAGCAUCCAUGAACAUCAUACUUAUUUUGAAAAGAAAAAUUUUGUUCUUGAUUGCAUGCCCCCAGCAGCCUGAGCAAGGAUCUAGAACAAUGUUGAAUUUUUUGGAGUUUAAUCUCGGCUGUGCUCCUCAUCAACCCUGGCUUCACACCAAAAUUAAUUUUGGUUUAAAUGUUAACGGAAGUUCAUUUGUAGAGCUUGAUCAACCUUUCCCGGGCUGAAUAUAUCUUGGAUUAUGGGUCAAACCCGUAGUCCAGGUCCUUGGUAAAUUUU
This is a non-coding RNA of Theobroma cacao (cacao), 4846 nucleotides long. Lineage: Eukaryota; Viridiplantae; Streptophyta; Magnoliopsida; Malvales; Malvaceae. The record is from RefSeq and is a predicted model, not a curated record.